GGUUUGAUUAUGGCUCAAAUUGAGCAACUGGCGGGAUGCUUUACACAUGCAAGUCGAACGGCGGCACGGACUUCCGGUCUGGUGGCGAGUGGCGAACGGGUAGUGAAUAUCGGAACGUGCCUAGUAGCGGGGAUAACUGCACGCCGAAAGCGUAGCCUAAUACCACAUACAUAUCGAAGGGGAAAGCAGGGGACCUUCGGGCCUCGCACUAUUAGAGCGGCCGAUAUCGGAUUAGCUAGUUGGUGGGAGUAACGGCUCGCAAGGCGACGAUCCGUAGCUGGUUUGAGGACGACCAGCCACGCAGGACUGAGACCUGGCCCAGACUCCUGGGGAGGCAGCAGUGGGAAUUUUGGACAAUGGGAAACCUGAUCCAGCCAUCCCGCGUGUGCGAUGACCUUCGGGUUGUAAGCACUUUUGGCAGGAGAGAAGAAACGGCACGGGGAUAAUACCCCGGUGCAACUGACGGAUACCCCGAAUAAGCACCGGCUAACUACGUGCCAACCGCGGUAAUACGCCAGGUGCAAGCGUUAGUCGGAAUUACUGGGCGUAAAGCGUGCGCAGGCGGUUCGGAAAGAAGGUAAGCGAAAUCCAGAACAGCACUGGAACUGCAUUUUUAACUGCGAGCUAGAGUGUGUCGGAGAGGUGGAAUUCCGCGUGUAGCAGUGAAAUGCGUAGAUAUGGAGAAGACGCAGUGGCGAAGCAGCCUCUGGGAUAACACUGACGCUCAUGCACGAAAGCGUGGGGAGCAAACAGGAUUAGAUACCCUGGUAGUCCACGCCCUAAACGAUGUCAACUAGCUGUUGGGGCCUUCAGGCCUUUGGUGGCACAACGCGUGAAGUUGACCGCCUGGGAAGUACGGUCGCAAGAUUAAAACUCAAAGGAAUUGACGGGGACCCGCACAAGCGGUGGAUGAUGUGGAUUAAUUCGAUGCAACGCGAAAAACCUUACCUACCCUUGACAUGUCUGGAAUCCCGAAGAGAGAUUUAGGAGUGCUCGCAAAGAACCGGAACACAGGUGCUGCAUGGCUGUCGUCAGCUCGUGUCGUGAGAUGUUGGGUUAAGUCCGCAACGAGCGCAUUACUUGUCAUUGGAUUGCUACGAAGGGCACUCUAAUGGGAACUGGCGGUGACAAACCGGAGGAAGGUGAGGAUAAUCAAGUCCUCAUGGCCUUAUGGGUAGGAGCUUCACACGUCAUACAAUGGUCGGGACAGAGGGUCGCCAACCCGCGAGGGGGAGCCAAUCCAGAAACCCGAUCGUAGUCCGGAUCGCAGUCUGCAACUCGACUGCGUGAAGUCGGAAUCGCUAGUAAUCGCGGAUCAGCAUGUCGCGGUGAAUACGUUCCCGGUCUUGUACACACCGCCCAUCACCAUGGGAGUGGAGUUUUACCAGAAGUAGUUAGCCUAACCGUAAGGAGGGCGAUUACCACAUUAGGAUUCAUGACUGGGGGUGAAGUCGUAACAAGGUAG
Molecule: ribosomal RNA, 1465 nt
Filed under: uncultured Bordetella sp.
Lineage: Bacteria; Pseudomonadati; Pseudomonadota; Betaproteobacteria; Burkholderiales; Alcaligenaceae
Description: partial 16S-23S ribosomal RNA intergenic spacer
Rfam family: Bacterial small subunit ribosomal RNA
Source: RNAcentral